This 7302-nucleotide long non-coding RNA is filed under the name Lupinus angustifolius (narrow-leaved blue lupine). RNAcentral's name for it is "long non-coding RNA (LANG_LNC000350)". Lineage: Eukaryota; Viridiplantae; Streptophyta; Magnoliopsida; Fabales; Fabaceae. The record is from RNAcentral.
AGCAUUUUUUGAAGCGCGGUAGAAAGUAGACAUUUAAUAGCACUCACUGAAGCAAACGUGAUUCAUAGUCUACUUUCUAAAUAAGACCAUAUCUCUCAGACAUUCUAUCAAACACAUACAAUCUUGUCCAACUCCACCAUAUUUACAAUAGAUUUGUUAUAUUACCAACGACUCCAACUACAUUCAACCUUAACAUAUUCCAAUACUAUAGAAUAACAUAUUAGUAAUGAGAUCUUAUGCAAAUUGUUCUUUCUUUCUCUUCCAAUGUACAAGUCCUUACACAGUGUUCAUGUGUUCCUCAAUGAUGAAUGCAAUCUGCAAAUACAAAUAAAAAAUAUCAUCUCUAAACAAAUUGCAAAAGUUAUGAAAAAAAUACAAAAUUAGCAGCAAUUGAUAAAGAAUAUUUACCAUUACACUCAAACCUUAUAUCUAAACCAGUGAACCAUAACCAAAAUCCCAAAACUUCGCACCAGUGUGGGCUGAUAAGGGAUUUAUGCCACAAUUUUGAUGUUUUUUACAACCACAAAAAUUGCCCCAGUGUGCAUACUCUGAACUUUCAACUUGGGAUACUUCACAAAAUAGCCCAGUGUGUCAUUGAGGAUGGGUAAUACUAAGUCUUGACUUUGAGGGUGUUCAUCAAGUUUUCCCUACUUUUUGCACAUAACACCUAGUGUAAGUAACCGUCGGGAAUUCUCUCAAUUUAUUAUGAUCUUGAGUCACCCUUUUAGGUUUUCGACCCAACAUCACUCUCCUUUUCCUAGAUUUCCCAUAUGGGUUUUCAACAUACCUCUCGUUUUUUUUUCCAUAGUUGCUUUUCAACACCUCGGUGUGGUGGUCUGACUUGAUAGGAAACGAAAGACUUCAAUUAUGUGUAUGAAUCAUUUUUUGAAGUUGUUCUUGAAGAGGCUUGUUGAAUGUGAUAACUUUAGAUUUUCCCUCCUUGGUUGAGGGAUCUUCAUUCCUUGUAGUUGAAUCAACAUAUAGAACUAUAAGAAGCAACUUCGUCAUUGACCUAGUUUUUGGGGCUUUUGGUAACUUUCCACUAGAAAAGGGGAUCUACCCAAAAACAUUGCCCCAGUAUGAGAUAUUAGGACUCAUCCUUCUGUUGAAAUCAUUUUGAUGUACCAUGAAUCAUCUUGCCCCAGUUUGAGAGGCUUUCACUCUUCAUUUUCUUUAGCGCUCCUUAUCUCAUGCAUUCUCUUCAAAAAGAAAUACUAAAAACAAUGAUCAUACAAAGUUGGUUAGUGUUUGUGCUAUGGAAGGGGAUGGUGAUGAGAAGAUUGAAUUUGAUGUGGGCUCUGAGUGUUAAGGGUUCGUUGAUAAUGGUGAUGGUAAUGAGAAGAUUGAAUUUGAUGUGGGCUUUGAGUGUUAAGGGUUUGUUGAUAAUGGUGAUGGUAAUGAGAAGAUUGAAUUUGAUGUGGGCUUUGAGUGCUAAGGUGUUGUUGAUAAUGAUAAUGGUGAUGAUGAGAGAUAGUAGAUCUUAGUCAUAUGAAUUCAAGAUGAGAUAUUUUAAUCAAAAUUUUGUGAGAUUUAAUGGAGUCAGUGUUUCUCUGCCCUAAUGUGUACCUUGGACAAAUCAAAUCCUCGACAAAGACUUUCUUAAGGUUGUAUAGUGGUCUGGCUAUGGGUUUUCGAAAUAAAAGGAUAUAAGGCUCAAAUAUGUGUUUCUCAUGCCCACUUCUCCUUACUUUUUUCUCCUUGUCCUAUUUUCAACCGUUUUCCGAUAUGACAUUCAAUUACUAGGAUUUUAUUUGGAUUUUUGUGAUGGAAUGGGUGAAGGCCUAGGUUAAAGGCGGUAGUCUUUCCCGAUAAGAUAUGAAUAGUUCCUUUAACAAUCAUUGACAAUACAUUUACUUUCCCCUAACUUUUUCCUGAGAUUUUCAUUGAAGAUUCUCAACAGGCUUUUUUGUAUAUAUUUUUUCGCACUUUGAUCGAAGAAUAAUUUUAAUUUGACUCUUUUUUGGAUUCUUUAUCUUUCGGGUCAAAUAGUGUAAGUUGUGUAUGAUAAAAUGUAUUGAUUCCUUCAUGAUUGAAUGCUAAGGAAAACUAUUGAAGUCUACCCUCCCUAAGUUAUUGAUAUUUUGUGGGUAAUUUCAAAAGGAAAAAAAACCGCUUAUCAUAAUGCCUAGGCUCAAAUGGGGUGACUAGGAAUAUCUUCAUAGUAUUUGGAGAUUAACAAUGAGGCCUUGUGUCAUCGGUAUAAAACUUGUCCGAAGAUCCAUAUCUUUUUGGGUCUUAUAUUUGCAUCAUCCUCCAUAUCACUUUAAUUUUGAAUCAAAUAUCUCACAUUAAUGCAUGAACUAAAAAGAAUUGGGUAUUUUUAGUGAAUGUUUUGUUGAAUGGAGUGAGAUUAUAAAAUUGCAUGAUCAAUGCGCUAGUAUGUUCUCGUUAAAAAAUAUUCAGUAAAAUGAAACUUUAUUUGUGGAAAGAAACAUGGGUGAGUGAAAGAGUAAUUGAGACUAAAUUGGACACUUGGGGUCUUCAAAAUGAGAAGUUUUUUUUCAACGAUCAAUCACCUGCCAUGCUAGAGUAAGAAAUGAUGUAUUAUAUUUGGAUUUUCUCUUACUACUUGAACAUAUUCAAUCUCAACCCUGAUUAAAUUCAGUCAAGUCCAAAAAUUAUCUUUCCAAAUCUGACAUUCCAUUGAUGAGUGCCUUUGAACCAUGAAAUGUAUGCAAAACCUAUUAUUUUUUUAUUUAUGCAUGAGGUGCAUGAUUGAUAUGACUGUAAUUUUUAUGCAUGCAAGAUGCAUGAAAAAAUAUAUCUUCUUUUUCCUUUUUUGAAUGCAGAUGACGAUGCAUGAAUUAAAUUUUUUUGUUUUAUAGAUGAUUUAUGAGGAUGUAUGAAAUGGAUGCAUGAUAAUGUGUGAAAUACAACACAUAGAGUGUUAAUGUAUGAAAUGUAAUGUUUGAAUAUUUAUUUGUAUGUUUUUUUUAUAAUUGCAUGAAUAAGUGGAUGAAUGUAUGAUAUAUUUUUUUUGACUUUUGAAUGAUUGAAUCUAUGAAUUAGUGAAUUAAUGGAUGAAUGUUUGAAUGAUUUUUUUAUGAAUGUUUGAUUGAUUUGUUUCUUGGAUAUAUGUUUGAAUGAUUGAUUUUUGAAUGAAUGUAUGUAUGAAUGAAUGAAGUAUAUGAUUAAUGCAAGAUGCAUGCCCGUUAUGGUAAUGUAGAAUGCGAGAUUAAUGAAAAAUGCAGACCCUUAGGGUUAGUGACCCAAUUGUGGGCAACAUCGCCUUCAUUACAAAAUAUAAAAUGGCAUGAUGGAUUAAUGAAAGUCAUAUCGUUCAGGCCAACCAAGGGCAAAGCCAACUUGCCCCUAGUUUUAUAAGACUACCCUUAGGACGAUGAGUCCUAUUGGGUAUGUUUGAGAAUACGUUGUCCUCAUGAUACAAAGACAUUGAGAUGCAAUGUUAUCACUCAGGCAUAGGUGAUGAUGUUGGAAUGUUCCAACUUAUAAAAAUAAUGGUAUAUGAAAAGAGACAAGUAUGCUUCUAGUGUCUUACACAAGGUACCUUACAAGGGUUAUGUCUAAAAGCCACAUUCCUACGGUGAGGUACUAAGGUAUGUCUAGAGUGGACUCCUUCGAGGGUUCUAGACUCUGAAAAAAGGCCACCAAACUUUAUCCCAUCCAUGAAGGAAAGGAAACUCAAAUAUUGUAGGUUAGAAAUGGGAGAGGUCUAGCCCCAUCGAGCGCCUAACUCAUGAUAUCGGUAACAGUUUGAUCGGUCCAUCACGCCAAUACAAGAUUUGACUCAAGGUCAGCACCGGCAGGGCAGAUGUCCCAUUUUAGAAAUUCCUAGAUAUCUCUAAUACCCGAGUAUAGGGUGUUGUUACCGUAGCUUGCAGCAAUUCUAAAUGGCAUGAAAUAAUAUUUACUGACUGAGUCACGACCAGGUCGCUCUCUUUAAGACGUUUCGUGACACUGCCCAAAAUGUGCAAGCAGACUAUCAACCACGCCGUCCCCAGGAUAAAACAGCCCAGAUCUCUGUUAUCAAAUUCUUACUACACUGUAAGAACCGAUCUCGAAUACACCCACCACAAUAUGACUACCAGUGCCAAUUCUUGAAGUUAUCGACAAUAUGGCUACCCGUGCCAAUUCUCUUCCCAUAAUACUGACUACUAGCCUCAGUUCUCAAAAUCCCACAAUAUGGCUACCAGUGCCCAUUCUUUACCUACAAUACUGUCUACCAGUGUCAGUUCUCGAAAUCCCACUUUGGCUGCUUGUGCCAAUUCUUAAGUGCCACGGAAAUAAAGGGGGAGAAGUUUACCGGAAAUGCGUCGGCGGAAUAUUAGGGGGGAGAAAGAGAAGUUGAGAGGAAACGCCUUCAACUUGGUGCAAGUUAAAAUGAAGGGAGAAAGUCUCUAUUUAUAACAUGAGAUUUUUCUCAUGUUCCUCAUUUCUCCCAUGUGGGACUUGGGAGCUUAAUUUUUAUUUUUUCAAAACUCUUCCAUGUGGGACUUUGAGAGUUGUUUUUUCAAACUCUUCUAUGUGGGGACUUGGGUGUUUUUUAUAUUUCAUACCCAAAAGUUAUCACUCAUGGUUUUCAACAAACCAUGUUCCAACAUAGGGCAUAUGUGUGUGCAAAGACAUUGUGUACUUAAUGUUGUGUGUGAGAAGUAUACAACUCUCUUAAGGAUAAAAUAUCAACCAAACAAAAAUAAAUCAAAAAUAUAUAUAUACAAAUAUGUACAAAAAGAAAAAGACAAGUUUCAAGGGUAUACAUGGAUCCAUGUAAUUAGAUGCUCUGGGCCUGACUCUCUUAGGAAAUUCCCAGUGGAGUCGCCAGCUGUCGCGCCCCGAUUUUUGGUCGAACACCAGUCACACGAGUAGUUUGGAGUCGCCACCAUAUUUUUGCGGUCAAAACAUAGAAAACCCUUUUGAUGCCCAAAUAUUGGAAAGACUUAGCCUUUGAACUAGAUCUCUGGACUCGGGAGUCGGUUGGGGAAGAUAUUAGCACCCCGUCCGUCCGUUAUCAAACGGUACCCGCAAUAAUCGCAUAGAACUAGAUAUACCAUAAAGCUUGUUAAAUCAAUUUAUUAUUUAAAAAUGUUUUUUGUUUUUGAUUUAUUUUUGUGUCUGACAAGAAUUCGUCAUACCCCUACGUAUCUGUGGGUGCAAUAGGAAAAUCAAGACUACGUAGUUAUUGGGUAGAAAAUACUUGUGUGUUGAUUGAUUUUUAGUUAAUGAAAAGUGAUUUAAAAAUUUGUGAGACGGUUGUAAGUAGAAAGGGUUAAAGAUGACGAUAAAGUUUACCCCAUAACAUUUUACCCUCAUUUAAAAAAAAGAAGAGGCAGUACGACAGCCGCUCACCGCUUUUAACUAAAUAUGAUACUCAUAUAAGGGUUUGACUUAUAUCGUCUUAUUCAUAUUAGCUAGAAAGAAGAGGUAGCACGACAGCCACUCACCGCUUUCUUACUAACAUGAUAAUAAAAGAGGACUCAAAUUGUAAGGUUAAGGAAAGAGGUACAACUUUGCCCUACAUCACUUUACACAUUUUAAAUAAAAGAAGAUGCAGUCCGAGAACCGCUCCCCGCUUUUUAUUAAAUAGUGUAAUGAGAUAAGGGUUUGAUAUAUAUUGUCUUAUCCUUAUUAGAGAGAAAGAAGAUGCAGUACAACAAUCGUUUACCGCUUUCCUACUAAUAAAAUAAUACUCAAGUUGAUACUAUUUCUCUAGCCUUAGCACUUGAAAAAUGUUUUUCUCUUGUUUAAUUAAUUUUAUGAAAAAUUUAUUAUUUUAAAAGUUUACAUCAUAAAAUACUAAUUAUUGUGACUCUCGAUUAUUUCAAAGAUUUAUAUCAUAAAAUAUUAAUGAUUGUGACUCUCGAUUAUUUCAAAGAUUCAUAUCAUAAAAUACUAAUGAUUGUGACUCUCGAUUCACAUAUUAAAUAUAAUUUCCAAAAAAAUAGUAUCUUAUUUAUUGGUGGUUCAAAUAAAUAUAACAUAUAUUAAUUAUUGUCGUCUUUUUUAUAUUGACAAGAAACGACAUUAAUGAAGAAUUAAUUAUUUAUUUUGAAAUUGUCAAAUAGAAUAUUUUAUUAAAUUUGGGUGAUAAUUUUAGAAGAUAAGGACAACAUUGGCUAUCUACAGCCAUUCCCAUUAUUAUAGAAAGAAGAGGCGAAGAGGCAAUACGAAAACCGCUCACCACAUAUCUACUUGAAGGGAAAGGGAGAUAUGGUCUAAUUCGUUCACAGAUUUCCCAAAUUAUCACCUUAAAUUCUACUUUUACGCUCAGUAAAAAAUAGAAUUAUUGAUAGUUAUAUAAAAAAAAUAACUAAUUUUUAUUAUUGUAUAUUUGUAAUUGAUUAGGGAAAUAAAAAAAUAACAAAAAAAGUAAAUAAAAUGGUUCAAACAGCAAUAAGGAUACACAUUAUUCUAAAAAUGAAUAAGAACAUUAUUACCACAUAUCAUAUAUCAAACAUAAUAGGAUGUGCAAUAAUACUAAACUGAAUUAUUAAUAUUCUUAAUUCAGAAUAGGAAUAAGUCUAAACUUAGUACCAAGUAGGGUAAUUAAAAAAUAUAUAAAAUAAUAAAAACUAAAAUAAAGUAAUAAUAAAAAGAAUGAAAUAGAAAAAAUCACAAAAAAAAAGAGGGAAGCCACAAACAGUGGACUUCCCUGCUGCACCUAUCACACGUCCAACAAGAGGAAGCUGCCGGGAUCCAUGGAGGCCACGCAGCGGAAUGAACAGGGGAGUCCGGGUAGCACCAGCAACGACGCAGGGAGAGGAGGAGGAGAAAACCCAACCGAGUUCACCCUCUGGUCACGCCUCAAACCACCGGCAGUCCUCUGGGACCUCAAAAGUUCGUCUCCGAUGAGAAAGAACAAUAUAGUGAUGAAUGAAAAUGAAGAAGAUGAAAUAUGAAGGGAAGAGGUUGUUGUAUUUGUGUUUUGUUUAGGGGCUGAACUUUGUGUUUCUCCUUAGGGGUUGCCUCCUCAUUUGGUUGUGUUAGCUAAUGCCCCCUUUGUGUGUUAUCUUCUGCUCUUUUUUAUGGACUGUUGAUUCAGCUUUUUGUUGUUGCUAAAGUCAUUGGAGUGUUGAAGUAUGAAUUUAAGGAUAAGGUGCUCCUUUGGAGGCUGAGUGUGUUUCAAAAAAAUGGGUGUAGUAUAAAAGCUGUUGAGUUGGGUUUAAGGAUAAGAUGCUUCUCCUUAGGUGUGUUAAGUGGGGCUUUAUAUAACACCCUUAGUUUAGGGUUAAGGUUAAAAAAUGAGUGUAGUCUUGUGAGUGUUUUUAAUUGCGACCCAGUCCUUAAACUUCCUAAUUUUUUUAUUUUUAUUUUUUAUAAAAAAGACCCCAAACAUAUUCACAC